UACGUAGGGGGCAAGCGUUGUCCGGAAUCAUUGGGCGUAAAGCGCGCGUAGGCGGCCCGGUAAGUCCGUUGUGAAAGUCAAAGGCUCAACCUUUGAACGCCGAUGGAUACUGCCGGGCUAGAGUCCGGAAGAGGCGAGUGGAAUUCCUGGUGUAGCGGUGGAAUGCGCAGAUAUCAGGAGGAACACCAAUAGCGAAGGCAGCUCGCUGGGACGGUACUGACGCUGAGGACGAAAGCGUGGGGAGCGAACAGG
RNAcentral lists this ribosomal RNA (252 nucleotides) under uncultured bacterium. RNAcentral describes it as "partial 16S ribosomal RNA". It matches the Rfam family "Bacterial small subunit ribosomal RNA", at positions 524 to 776 of the family's 1533-position model. The record is from RNAcentral.